UACGUAGGGUGCGAGCGUUAAUCGGAAUUACUGGGCGUAAAGCGUGCGCAGGCGGUUUUGUAAGACAGUUGUGAAAUCCCCGGGCUCAACCUGGGAAUUGCAUCUGUGACUGCAUCGCUAGAGUACGGUAGAGGGGGAUGGAAUUCCGCGUGUAGCAGUGAAAUGCGUAGAUAUGCGGAGGAACACCGAUGGCGAAGGCAAUCCCCUGGACCUGUACUGACGCUCAUGCACGAAAGCGUGGGGAGCAAACAGG
RNAcentral lists this ribosomal RNA (253 nucleotides) under uncultured bacterium. Its description in RNAcentral is "partial 16S ribosomal RNA". It matches the Rfam family "Bacterial small subunit ribosomal RNA", at positions 524 to 776 of the family's 1533-position model. The record is from RNAcentral.